RNAcentral lists this long non-coding RNA (660 nucleotides) under Anser cygnoides (Swan goose). RNAcentral's name for it is "lncRNA (ENSACDG00005015545.1)". Lineage: Eukaryota; Metazoa; Chordata; Aves; Anseriformes; Anatidae. The record is from RNAcentral.
ACAACCCGAUUAUUCAACAGGGAACAUUGAGCCAGGUCUUACAAGCUCUAAAUAGGAAGAGGCUUUGGAGCCAGCAGCAACGUUUUGGGGAAGACUUCAGAAUGUGCUAACCCCAGCAGUACGUUCAUUUGAGUUGGCUGUGCUGUGCAACUUUUGCUGUGGUCAGUGGUGUUACCUGCUAGGAAUCAUUAUAAAUGUUGUCUGAGUAUCAGCCUGGAGAAAAGAAUGCGGCAGCAGUGACCAACUUUUGCUGACAAAAUGCAGAGAGGAUGCCUGGGUAAUGGAAACAAGAUGGAGGAGCCUUGCUGGCUAGUCUUGGUUUUGGAAAGUCUGAUGGGAGACAUCCAGAGUCAAAGUCAGAGCCUGGUUCCUGCACUGAGCCAUGGGGGACCAGUGACAGACUUGUCCAUGAGGGUUUCCACAAGUGUCCCCCAGACCACGCAGGCCGAUGACAGGCUAGUGCUAGUGCUUGGAUGGAUCAGGAGGAACAACUUGCCAGCGUGCACAUGGCAAUGUGCAGCCAGACCUGACGUGAUGUUCAGCCAGUAUGUCUUCUGUAUACAGGCUGCCAGCAUGAGUCUGAGGACAUCCCUUCUACCCAUGUCUCUGAAUCUCAGUUGUGAGCAAAAUACAGUUAGCUGGCAACAGCUGUGUGCAUGA